AAGUCGUAACAAGGUCUCCGUAGGUGAACCUGCGGAGGGAUCAUUAACACUAUUUGGUUCUGAGAGAGCAAUCUCUUGGUUCUAAAGGUUCUAAAUUAAAAACCAACCACACUACGUGAACUCGGUUCUGCUUGCAGAGCCAAUCUCUCCCUUUGAAAUGGAAAGGCUUGGAUCCGAUGUGCAGUGGGGGUAUAGCACCCCAUCUGUCCAAGCUACAGAGCUCGCAAGAGACUUUGAACUUUCACUUUCUUAGGCAAUCUUUAAAAAUGUAGCCGCUGCAGCAUUUGCCCAACACCCACUAUUGUUUAACCACAAUUUUCACCCCUUCGUACUCCAAUUGACUGAUUAUGUUGAAUCUAACCGAAAGGUUCUAUUCUUCACUAAGAUUUUCUAAUCUAAGCACAACUCUUAGCAACGGAUAUCUUGGUUCUC
This 432-nucleotide unclassified non-coding RNA is filed under the name fungal sp. Its description in RNAcentral is "partial internal transcribed spacer region". The stretch from base 1 to 46 matches the Rfam family "Eukaryotic small subunit ribosomal RNA", at positions 1786 to 1831 of the family's 1831-position model. Lineage: Eukaryota; Fungi. The record is from RNAcentral.